This 468-nucleotide ribosomal RNA is filed under the name uncultured bacterium. Its description in RNAcentral is "partial 16S ribosomal RNA". It matches the Rfam family "Bacterial small subunit ribosomal RNA", at positions 28 to 507 of the family's 1533-position model. The record is from RNAcentral.
GACGAACGCUGGCGGCGUGCUUAACACAUGCAAGUCGAACGGAAAGGCCCUGCUUUUGUGGGGUGCUCGAGUGGCGAACGGGUGAGUAACACGCGAGUAACCUGCCCUUGACUUUGGGAUAACUUCAGGAAACUGGGGCUAAUACCGGAUAGGAGCUCCUGCUGCAUGGUGGGGGUUGGAAAGUUUCGGCGGUUGGGGAUGGACUCGCGGCUUAUCAGCUUGUUGGUGGGGUAGUGGCUUACCAAGGCUUUGACGGGUAGCCGGCCUGAGAGGGUGACCGGCCACAUUGGGCCUGAGAGACGGCCCAGUAUCCUACGGGAGGCAGCAGUGGGGAAUCUUGCACAAUGGGCGGAAGCCUGAUGCAGCGACGCCGCGUGCGGGAUGACGGCCUUCGGGUUGUAAACCGCUUUCGCCUGUGACGAAGCGUGAGUGACGGUAAUGGGUAAAGAAGCACCGGCUAACUACGUG